UGGAGAGAGCAGAGUCACCAACUCUGAGUUAUGCAUCAGCAAAAAGUCACCAGUCACUGAAUACGGAUGAAGAAGACGAGGAGGUGAACUCAGCUCAAAAAGAGAAAAACAAUUUGAAGCAUCUCCAGCUACGUACAGAUAGUCAUAUGUCUAUGAGUGACCAGAUUGACCAGUCAGUGAAUUCAAGCAUAGACCCAAGUGAUGAUGGAGACCAAACCAAGGAUGAAAGGCCAGGAGAGGUGGUCUGUGAUGUCUGUGAUGAGGUCAGAGCUGUGAAAUUCUGUCUGACCUGCACUCAGUCC
Long non-coding RNA from Coregonus clupeaformis (lake whitefish), 302 nucleotides. RefSeq lists it as uncharacterized. The record is from RefSeq and is a predicted model, not a curated record. The transcript has 3 exons. NCBI's taxonomy places the organism in Eukaryota, Metazoa, Chordata, Actinopteri, Salmoniformes, Salmonidae.